Non-coding RNA from Oryctolagus cuniculus (rabbit), 602 nucleotides. NCBI's taxonomy places the organism in Eukaryota, Metazoa, Chordata, Mammalia, Lagomorpha, Leporidae. The record is from RefSeq and is a predicted model, not a curated record.
UACAGGGGGCCCAAGUACUUGAGUCAUCAUUUGCUGCCUUCUCCGUUGCCUUAUCAAGAAGCUGGAUUUGAGAUAGGAUAGCUGGACAUUUGAAUGGCCCUUCGGAUAUGGGCUAUGCCGAUUCUGUGCAGCAACUUAACCUGUUACACCACAAUGUCUGGCCUUUAUGAUUAUAUAUUUUAAAAUCCGCACUUGUAGACAGCCACAAAGCACCUGAUGCAUUAUUCAAAAUGUCUAAGAAGUGGAAACAAUCCAGAGAUUCAUCAUGAAUUGGACAACACUGUACUUACAUAUGUGCCAUGUUUUUAUAUAGUGGCAUGAAUAUAUCUACAUAGUAGAAUGGUAAUCUAUCCAAAAAAGAAAAAAGUGAAGUUAGGAUGCAGCUGCAGUCAUCUCAAACCGAGAGAACAAGAAACAUAAGUAGAAACUUUGAUGAAACUUGGAGAUGAUUGUAAGCCAAGCCUACAUCACUGUGGAUGAAGACUGAAAGCAUACCUUCUCUGAACUCAAGUACUGCACAUCAAGUAGUACAUGCAAAUUGAAGAUGGACUGUUUGUGAAUCUAAACUUAAAAAUUAUUGUUCUUGCAAAGGAGAAUCUUAU